CCUACGGGAGGCAGCAGUGGGGAAUUUUCCGCAAUGGGCGAAAGCCUGACGGAGCAACGCCGCGUGAGGGAUGAGGGCCUCUGGGCUGUAAACCUCUUUUCUCAAGGAAGAAGAACUGACGGUACUUGAGGAAUAAGCCACGGCUAAUUCCGUGCCAGCAGCCGCGGUAAUACGGGAGUGGCAAGCGUUAUCCGGAAUUAUUGGGUUUAAAGGGUGCGUAGGUGGGUUGGUAAGUCAGUGGUGAAAUCCCCGAGCUUAACUCGGGAACUGCCAUUGAUACUAUCAGUCUUGAAUACCGUGGAGGUCAGCAGAAUAUGUUAUGUAGCGGUGAAAUGCUUAGAUAUGACAUAGAAUACCAAUUGCGAAGGCAGCUGGCUACCCGAAUAUUGACACUGAGGCACGAAAGCGUGGGGAUCAAACAGGAUUAGAUACCCUGGUAGUCCACGCCCUAAACUAUGGAUACUCGACAUACGCGAUACACUGUGUGUGUCUGAGCGAAAGCAUUAAGUAUCCCACCUGGGAAGUACGACCGCAAGGUUGAAACUCAAAUGAAUUGACGG
Molecule: ribosomal RNA, 560 nt
Filed under: uncultured bacterium
Lineage: Bacteria
Description: bacterial SSU rRNA
Rfam family: Bacterial small subunit ribosomal RNA
Source: RNAcentral